AGGCAGAAGGAGUCGAUGGGCCUCUUAGGCCGGAAACCUUACAAGCAUAGGACCAAGGCAGAAAAGGGCCAGAGGGUUCAUGGUCCUCCGUUCCACCUGAAUCCAGCUAGAGAGCGAGCCAGGGGGAUAGGUGUGCCCCUCGUCGCCCGUGCGCUGAGGCACUGUCACGCAAAGAGACAUUCACCUUCCACGUCAACGCACCUUUAAGGGCGAGAGCGGUCCGCCGUGCCCAAGAGGAACGGGAUGACAUUCAACUGGGACUUGCCUCACCUUGGCUUGGGGGACCUCGAGAGCGGUCCCGUGGGGGCGGUGUUACUCGUGGUGGUAGAAGUGGAGGGCGUGUCCGGGUACUUGAGUUCAUGGGCAUCUCUCCCGCCGCCUCUCAGCCUAUCUGCACCAUGUCUCACACGUUCAGUUGCAGCUCUUACCGUUUUGAAGGCGCACGUGGGCAAGAAGUCCUGGGCAGCACAAGAAAGUCAAUCACGUUGAGACAGAGAGAGCAGGAGAGGAAGUGGGCCCCAGUAGAAGUGGGCGAGAGAGCGUUGGGUGGGAACGUGGCACGAGAGAGAGAAAUUAUGAGAU
Molecule: long non-coding RNA, 582 nt
Filed under: Homo sapiens (human)
Lineage: Eukaryota; Metazoa; Chordata; Mammalia; Primates; Hominidae
Description: HSALNT0285574
Source: RNAcentral